GCUUAUGUAGCCUAUUUUUAAAGCGUAGCACUGAAAAUGCUAAGAUAGACCGUAAAAAGCCUCUUAAGCA
This 70-nucleotide transfer RNA is filed under the name Calyptocephallela gayi (helmeted water toad). RNAcentral's name for it is "tRNA-Phe". It matches the Rfam family "tRNA". Rfam says of the family: Transfer RNA (tRNA) molecules are approximately 80 nucleotides in length. Their secondary structure includes four short double-helical elements and three loops (D, anti-codon, and T loops). The record is from RNAcentral. Lineage: Eukaryota; Metazoa; Chordata; Amphibia; Anura; Calyptocephalellidae.